UGUUUUUUUUCUCUUUUGUCAUUUUGAUUGUGAGAGGGAGAUGUAGGAGGGGAGUUCAAGCUAGAGAGAAAUAUAGAGGUAACGUGAGAGAGUAAGGAAAAAUAGAAGAAGAAGGCUCAAAGCUUCAAGGGAUCCUUUCAUGGUGUACGUAGGAUAUCAAGUCGGGGAUAUAGUAAGGGAAAUUAUGAACUCAUAUUCAUCUUCUUUCAUUGACUAACCUAUCUUGAAUUUAGAACCAAGAGCCAAGGUGGGGUUCUUUUGUAAGUUAUGAUUUUGAGUAGUAGCACACUAGAAUGCUUGCAUGAUAGGUUAGAUUGAUGAAAUUUUACGUAGAUUUUCUUUAAUUCACAUUAGGUUAGGAUUUACUUGUAUCCAAGUACUGUUAAAAUGCCUAAGUUUGAUGUUAAAUACUGUGAUUGGCAAGGAAAAUAGUUUUGUUUGGACUAUGUUGCAGGAAGCGAAUGAGGAAAAAAAUUGCAGGAAACUCACACCUGGAAGAAUUACUACCGUAAUCUUAGAUUACAUGUAUCCCAUAGUUAUCUAUGCCUCGUGUGGUGGGGAGCUCUAAAGGAAUUAUGGUCGCAAUGUCAAAUUACAGGGCACCAAUAGUUCCUUCUAUUGUGUUCCAAAAAUAUCACAUUUCCAAGCUUCAAAGCCUCACUAAUGAUAGAGGGGAUGAAAACCUUAAGCCUUCUAGUAGUGUUAUCAUUAGAACCCUAAGAAAGGAACAAUGAUUCAGGUUAAUACCUUAGUCGUACAUGUAUAAUUGCUAUACGGGUAAAGGUCUUAUCCAACAAAAAUGACAAUAUAACUAACUGAAUACAUAUAGGGAGUGACAUGUUUCAUUGCAUAUAUCAAUUGUAUAACCCGAAAGCUACACUAGAGUCUCACAGAGUCAUAGUGGGAUGUUGAUGAUCCUAUAAACUAGACUCAGAUUAUGAGGAAUUGUCGCAGUUAUGAUUUAUUAGUUCAUAUAUGUGUAUGGGAUACCAUGUUAUGUCUCUAUAGUGUAUGGUAUUAAUUAUAUCGUGAAUUAUUUAUGGGAGGUCUCGAGUAUAUCCAGUACUUUUGGUUCUUUUGUUGGUAGUGGUAGUACUGUAAUUGGCCCCAAAGAGAAUUUAUGGUUGUAGUAAGAACUCUAUUGAGAUUUCUCACUUCAUUAUUUUCUUACAAAUAAUCAUGUGUCAAGCAAAGGAAAGCAAAAGAUUACUCGAAGAGGAUGCUUAGAUGACUACGUGAAAGUAUAAUUAUUUAUCAUCUUUUUCAAAAAAAAAAUGAAAAAUUAUUGGAAUGUACGCAUUGAAAUACAAUAUAUAAUUUGUCUCUCAGUUAAUAAAAUUUAAUAUUUAAUUAUAUCAUAUUAAUUAUAUUAUUUAUUUAUAAAAUACAUUAACUGUAAUUUUAUACAUGAUUUUUUUAAAAUAAUUAUUAAAAAAAUCGUUGGAACUUACCAAAUAAACAUUAAAUUGAUAUUUGUCAUUAAAGAUUUGAUUUAGUGUAGAUUUUUGAAGAUUUGAUUUUUUUUUAACAUAUUCAUGACAUGCCAUAUUCAUCCAAUCAUAUCUUUGUAGUAACUGUAAAAAUCCUAAGAACGGUUUCCUGUUUUAUUUUUUUAAUUUUUCAUUCAAAAAUGCUGAGAUAUGUCUAAAUCUUAAAAACAAAAAAUCAGAAUCUUAGAACAAUAGAGCAAUUAAUGUCAUAAAUCUUUAGUUCCUAUCCACUUAGACUCAUAAAGCUUUAUUUAAAAGAGAGAGAGAAAACAACUUUGAUUCAUUAUCCGUUUUGUAUUUCUUGAUACCUUUUUAGAAAAACAUUAGAUACAUUCACUUGUCAUCAUUGUCGUUGUCUUGAAUUCAUUAUCAUAUUCCAUCUCUUUCAAAGGUUUGAACUUUUCUUAACUUGCUUGUUUUCAUAUAUAAUCUCAUCUUAUUUUGUUUCUUUUUUUUUGGUUAUUACUUGAAGUUACUACAAUGGGGAGUUAUAUGAGUAAAAAGAUUUCAAAAACAUCGUCUAGGGGUCAUUUCACAACGACGCUAUCUUCUGGUGGUGUUGAAGUUCGAGCUCCUUCGUUCGAAUCGCUAAAACAAAUUAUAGAAAGUCUUCUAGAGAUGAAUAAAGAAGUUGUGAGAGUAAUCUUGGAGUGCAAGAAAGAUGUAUGGAAAUGUGAAGAACUGUUUGAAUUAGUGGAAGAGUAUUUCGAAAACAGUUUGCAAACAUUGAAUUUCUGCACCGCAUUGGAGAAGUGUUUAAAAAGAGUUAGGGAUAACCAAUUGCUUGUUCUUGUAGCGAUUCAACGGUUGGAGGAAGAAUCUGAAUCAGGAGAGAAAUGUUAUGCGAGAACAUUACAAGAAUUGAAGAAUUUUAAAUCAACAGGUGAUCCUUUCACCGAGGAAUUCUUCCAAAAUUUUCAAUCUGUUUACAGACAAGAGAUACUAAUGGUUGAGAAACUUCAAGUAAGAAAGAACAAGCUUGAUAAGAAACUGAAAUUCAUUCAUUCAUGGAGGAAAGUUUCAAGCAUGAUAUUUGUGGCUGCAUUUGCAGCUGUUUUGAUAUGUUCUGUUGUGGCAGCAGCUAUUGCAGCUCCUCCUGUUGCUGCGGCGUUAGCAUCCGCUGCAGCGGUCCCUAUCGGUUCGAUGGGAAAAUGGAUUGAUUCACUAUGGGGAAAGUAUGAAAUUGGAGUGAAAGGACAAAAAGAAGUUCUUGGUUCAAUGCAAGCUGUUACAUAUGUAGCUGUUAAAGAUUUGGACAAUAUUCGCGUACUUAUCGGUCGGCUUGAAAUUGAGAUUGAAUCUUUGUUGCAUAAUAAGGUUGGUUUUGCAAUUGAACAAGAGGCUGUGAAGAUUGCAAUAGAGGAGAUAAAGAAGAAGCUUGGUGUGUUUAUGAAGAAUGUUGAAGAUUUAGGAGUUCAAGCUGAUGUUUGUAGCCAAGACAUUAGGAGGGCAAGGACGGUUGUGCUGCAGAGAAUCAUAAAAGAACCUAUCAUUUGAAGAGUUAUGUUAUUUGUUGUUGUUUUUAAUGUUUAGAAAACACAUAUUUUUAGUUUAUAUAUUGUGACUUGUGUGUGACUUGUGAAGUUUACUAUAGAUUUGUGCUAAAGGUAUAUAAUGUAUUAGGACAUAUAUGUAUUCACACUUGCAAAUAUAUUAGUUUAUCAUAUGUGUUGUUGUAUAUUGAAAAAAAUAAAAAAUUUAAUCAAUUAUUGUUGUUAUUUUUGUUUAGAAAAAAAAUAGAUCUUUGAAUAUGCUUUGUAUAUUAAAAUAAAUUAAAAAAUUUAAUUAUUUAUUUAUUGUAUUUUAGAAGAAAAAAUAGAUUACUUCAUAUGCUUUAUAUAUUUAAAAAAGUCAAAUGUGUAAUCAUUUACUGUUGUUAAUUAUUUUUUAAAUUAGAGUGUGCUUUAUAUAUUUGAAAAAUGAUAGGAAAAAAUAGAAUUUAUAUGCUUUAUAUAUAUUUAGAAAAUCAAAAUUUCAAUCAAUUAGUAUAUUUAAUUGUUGUUAGUGUUUAGAAAAAAUAGAUAUUAAAGCAUUUAUAUAUAAUUACAUAAUUUGCCAAUUAGCUGUUAUAUAUAUAUAUAUAUAUAUAUAUAUAUAUUGGAAUAUAAAAGAAUUUAGAUUUUUGAUAGAUGAAAAAGGAAUGAAGAGAUUAUUUUGUAAUUGAUGGUGACGAAAUUUUCUUUAUUGAUCGCAUAUAAUGUUUUUUACACUGUGUGUUCCUUUUCAAGUUAUAAAGUUAUGUACGAAUCACAUUCAAGAGUUACAAAUAUGGGAUAUUUAUACACAAAGAUAACUAACUUAUGCUCAAAGUAUUCCUAGUCGAAUUCCCUAUAACUGAGCUUGUGACUUGUCAUCAUCGACACAAAAGCUUCUUCAAUUCGUCAAACCUUGUCUUCUUCGAAAGCUUUGUAAGCAAGUUUGUUAGUUGCACUUCAAAAUUGCAAUACUUAAGCUCAUUCUUCUCUUUGUUUAUUUGAUCUCUCAGAAAAGUGAUACAUCUUUUCGGUGUGCUUUCUCCUUGCACGGGACAUAAGACGGUUGGCUAAGUCGAUAGUUGACUUGUUAUCUACAAAUAAAUCCAUCUUCUUUAACUCAGUCACUUUCAGUUCUUCCAGCAGCAUUUCGAUCAAUGCGACAUGACAAGCUGCAUAGAAUGUUGCCACAUAUUCAGGUUCACACGAUGAUAAAUCCAUUAUCCCUUGCUUCCUCGAGCUUUAAGAGAUUGGUGUCCUACCAAUCAUGAAUAUGUAGCCUACAAUACUCUUCAUUUCGUCUUGAUCUCUAGUAGGAUAAAGUGAAUAUCACUUUGGAACAGAUGCUUAGGACAUGUUUUGGAUCUAAGUAAAUGGACAUUCAGCAUUGAGUAAAUGUCUUGAGAAUUUUAGUUUUUAUGGGUUGUGUAUAAAUGAAGAAGGAAAGAUUCAUAUUAGAGUUGUUAAUUUUGUUUUUAAUUUCAGCAUUUGAUUCCUUGAUUGUAUUAUACGUGGAUUAGGCACAUAGCAAGUAAGAACAUGAUGAGCUAAUAUAAAUACGGGUGCACUCUUCUCUAUCUCUCUCCUUUAGUUUUCUGCAUAGUUUACAUGUUAAGAUUUUUAUUUCUUCCCUAGAAUCGCAUGUUGUUAACCUUUAUCUACUUAUAAUGAUUUGCUAUAUAAGUGUGGGUCUAUAAUUGAUUAAAUCAUCUAGUUCAUCUUUCUAGUGAUUAAUUUUGUUUAUAAUUUAUAAUAUUAGAUUAAUUUAUUGAUGAAUAAAAUUCAAUUUAGACACUUCGCUCAAAUUGAAUUUGUAUUGAUUAAUUCAUUAAUUGGUUAAGAUUUUCAUCAUUUCACAUUUUAUUGUGUCAUUUAAACAUUGUGUAAUUUGUGAUGUCGAUCAAACACAUACUCUAUUAAAUUUCAACUCUCCACAUUUUGAAAAACUCUAAUUUUAAAAAAUUAAUUUUUGAAUUAAUUUUAAGAAUAAAGUUUCUUCACCUCUCUAUAGGAUUUUUCUCAUUUAUAUUCUAUCCCGAUAAAAUUAUAUUUCAUAAACAAUUUCAAAAUAUUUAAGAAUUUUAUAUAUAUAUAUAUAUAUUAUAUAAAUAUUAUAUAUAUAUAUUAUAUAUAUCCCCUAAAGAUUAUGUAGCAUAGUGAAGUGUGUCACACAGAAGUUGAUGUAACAUACAAAAAAAAAGGUACCAUGGACAAAACAAAAAUGUGACCGUAGAUUAUAUGUACCAUCAUCACCAUUGAUUUACAUGUGGAACUUUUCAUAUGUUUUUUUUCCAUCAUAAUAAUUCACACAAACAACAAGCACAUCAAAAACAUCGAAUUUGAACACAUGGUACAUUCAAACACCACGCAUUCUCUAUUUUUAUUUCUUUUUCUUUUUGUACUUGUCUUUUCUUCUUAUCCUUUAUUUUUAUCAAUUCACCCCCAUAAUAACAUUGUGACCCCCUUUCUAAUAUGGAAGAUUUUUUCUCUUUGGUUUUAAUUGAGGUAAUUAAUCAAUUUAUUUUUCACUUAUUUUAAUGCAAGAAAAUAAGACUAGUAUAUGCUUUAAUUUUUGUUUAAAAAUCUUUAAAUGACAGAAAACACAAUAAUAUAUUAUUUAUAAUACUCAUCACAAUAAUAUGUAUUUAUAAUUGAUGAAACUUAACAAACCUUUAACGUGUCAAAAAUAUUGUUAGAACAAGAUUUAGUUUUACAUCUAUAUCUUGAGUUUUGCUGAUAAGAAUCUUGUAUUUGUGUGAGAAUAAUUUUGGUACCCUAAUGGUUUGUUAUUGUGUAGCUUUAACAACCAGUUCUCAUUAUGAGUAUAUGACGUGCAAAGUCAUCAAUUUAUGAACAUUGUGUUCUAAAUUAUGCUUUUGCGUUAAUCAUGAGAAGUUCUGAAAGAUGUCAAGUUGAUACUGCAAUAUUUUUUUCCUUCUAUGUUGAUUCACUCCUAAGACGUUUCUGAGAGACGCUAGGUUCCUGCUGCAACAUUCUCUCCACUUCUGCUUAUGGACGUGACUCUGAUAAAUCAAGCUUCUGAAUUUUUGUUACUAAGCUGAAGAUUAUGAAGAUCUCAAGCCAGACGUUGAGGUUAUCAAGGUUCUGACUAUAGAUUCUGAAGACUCUAAAGAUUCUGAAGAUACUGAAGAUCUCAAGUCAGAUUGCUGACAUUGUCAAGAUUCUGACUGAGGAUUCCGAAGUUUUUUAAUCCAGUUGUAUGUUUCUUCAUUUCAUGUUUCAUCAACUUUCAUCAGAAGCCAAUGAGCUUGAAGAUAAGAUUAAAUGGGUAUGUGACCAAAUAGUACAUAUUACAAAUCAAAUAUUAUUUCCAUUACCUAAUAUCGUGGGCAAGGACAGUACUAUUCAUCACACGUGUCACUGAAUUUGUGGGCGAAGGACAAUACGUAGUAUCACUCCUUUCACAUGUCCAACAGUGGACAGGCGCUCUAUUUGGUUUCCCCAUUUUUCCCUCCAACGGUCUCUUUUCUUAUGCUAUAUAAGUGGGACUUAGAGACUUGAAGAAAAUGCUGAAGCGCUACAACAAUUUGACAAGUCUAUUUCUUUAUGAAAAACUACUAAUUUUGUACACAAUUUUUCUUUAAGUGUUUGUAAUUCAUUUGUGUAAAAUCUACUUUUGUAGAAGUAACUUGUAACACAUAAAAUAUUAUUCAAACUAUUGUUUGAUUUUGCUUAAGGAGACUAAGGUAUAGUCAGAUCCUUGAGAAGACAAAGAAGGUUAUUCUUUGUGAUUCCUUAAGGAGACUAGGAUAUAGUCGGAUCCUUGUGAAGACAAAGAAGGUUAUUUUUUGUGAUUAUUGUAAUCAGUUGAUUAAGUCCUUGUGUAUAAGGCGAAAUCACCUUGGCGGGUGGACUGGAGUGGAGUAGCUUUGAGUCUCAAGCGAACCAGGAUAAAAAUACUUGUGUUUUUAUCUCUUUGUUAUUAACAUUUAAGUGAUGUUUUUGAGUUGGUAAAAAACUUUUGUUUUUAAAAAAACCCAANCCCCCCAUUUCUUGUGUUUUUCACACCUUCAAAUACAACCUUUUAAUAAUCAGAUAUAUGAUAAAAAUAACCAAGUCUGGUACACAUGAACCAAAUGAAUCAGACUUGAUGCCCUAUGAAUAAAAACUUCUUGCUAGAUUCAAUCCACGUCAUCGCCUUUAGAGCUAUGACACAGAUGGUCAGACCUCUGUUAGACAGAUGGACCACCAUAAGAACACCCAUAGCUCCAAUUUCUUCCAUCGACAUUCUUACUGAUUUUCAUCACUCGAGAUUUUCUUUCUCUUCAACAGUUGUGAUUUUAAGGCAUACUUCUACAAUUCUACACAAUGACUUGAAAUCGUGGUGAUUAAAAUUUACCCAUCAAUCACCUUUUUAUUCUCUUUGAUUUGAAUCGUCAUUCAACAACUUUGAUCAAGUUUAAGCCAUGAUUGAACCUUGAUCUUGUCACUUGCAUCCACUUGAUUUCAACCACCUUUUCAUGCUUAGGUAAUCUAACAAGCCCACAAACAUGGUUGCUUAACCAUAUUUGACUCCGCCUGAUUUUGAAUGCCUCUGUGUAGGUCCAUGUUUAUGAAUUUUGCAACCCUUUAGUCAUAUUCAAAGCAUAACACCCAAAGUCAUCCUAAUUAUACCUUUGAGAUGGUAUAAUCUCCUUUAUUACCUUAUUAUGAGUCAAAUGAUAAUCAGAGUCCUCUAUAAUCAUUCUUUCACUAGUACUAGUAUCCGUAGAAAAAACCUGCACCUUUUUUGUCAUAGUUAAUAAAACUUUCAUCUUUAUGUCUUUGCCCUUCCUCCCAUGGCACGACGCGCUAAAAAUAAUACAUUUGCGAAUGAUAAACUUUGAUCCUCUAGAUUCUACUUUCCACAUUCAUAACCCUUCCCACAUUGUGGAAGAUAAUUAACGUAAUUCACAACCUUAUCAUCAAACUGGAUAGGCUUGAUUUGUGCAAUAGGAAAAAAUUUGACGACCUUCAAAACAUUGUAGGUUAUAUUUUUCCUACUCUAAACUUCCAUAAGUGUUUGGCAGUUUAUUCUUGUAAAUGAGCACUUGUCGACCAGUAAGUUGGUUUGGCACCAGCUUUACCCCAUAAACUUAAUAACAACUCAACAUUUAAAUGGGUUAUUAUCCAUUGUCUUCUAUAAAUCUCAUUAAAGUGAUUUGAAACAAUCUCAUACAUUUAUCAUGUAUUGGCCUCAAAUUCUAAGUUUGUUUUAGUCAUGAAAGUCUUCACUAUCUGAUAAUGAAUGAACAACAACAUUGAAACCUUUUAAAAUAUAUAACUCACAUAUUUUAUCUCCUUUAGCCAUGAUCAUUCCACCAUGCAUAAUCUUCAAUAUCCCAUGUUCAACUCUAGUGCAAUAGUUUAUAACAUCAAACAUACAUAUGGAUAAAAAAUUCUGCAGAAGCUCUAAAACAAACCUCACAUUAUGAAGAAGAAAUCAUGAUCUUCAAACAUUUUAAGUCUGAACGUACAAAUAACAUGAACCUUGCAAGUCUUAUGGCCACCAAGGUGAAUUACUCCAUUUUUCUCCAACUUAAAAGUUUCAAAAUAUUAUUUUCUUUGACACAUGUGAUAAGAGCAACCUGAGUCCAUGAUCCAAGUCUCUUAAGCCUCCAAACUCGACACCACCAAUGCACUAACAUUCUGAUGACUAUCCUCAUUUGGCGCAACUACAAUUUGAAGACAAUUAUUAUUUCCUCACAUCUCUAGAAAAUCCCUCAAGAAGUGAUUGGUUUUAUGACAAGUGAAGCAUUUUGAUCUUGAGUUUUCAAAUAUCUUUGAUUUUGACAUCUCUCUACGACCAUUUCUUCUUCUUGAGACACGCAAGCCUUCCUCGUCACUAUUUCCAAUCUUCAAACCUUUAACCUUUGAAAAUUACAUGGAUAUCACAACCAUCUAGACUUCAUCCAAAAUAAUAAUAUAUUCCUUACCAUAAAAUGGCAACCUUGAAGUGGUCAAAGAAUCUGAGUAAUGAGUUUAAGAAGAGUACAACUUAGUUCUCAUCAUUAAUCUUCACUUAAAUAUCUCCAGAUCAUCAAUGAUCUUCUUAAAUUCUAUCAAUUGAUCCACUGUGGAUAUAUUCUAUACCAUUUAGAAUGAGAAAAAUUAUUGUUUCAGAUACAAUCUAUGAGCCAAGAUAUGAUCAUAUACAAUAAUUCAAAAUUUACCCACAUCAAAAUCGUAGUUUUCUCCCUAACGACUUUUCUUAGAACUUUAUCACGAGACAUAAAAUAAUGACAUCCCUGGUUUUAUCCACCAUCUUUAUUUUCUCAGCUUGUGUUAGGUGUGCAACCAUCGAUGCAUUACCUCUCAAUGCUUCAUUACACUUCUUAUGGGUUAAUAUUGUUUGUAUCUUCACUUUCCACAAUCCAAAAUCAUUGUCAUCAAAAAAAUUCUCGAUUCGCCUUUAGAAACCAUGGUUCUCACUUGUAAAUAAUUUUUUUGUUCCAUGAUGGAAACCAUUUGUUGUAAAAACUCUAACAAAUAUAGUGAAUUUGUUGAUAACUUCAAGAAAUUUUAUAAGUGGGACAAAGUACAACGACAACCAAAAUAAAUUAUCAUAAGCAACCCAAUAACCUGAUAACUUGCCAAAAGUGAAGGUAAAUCCACAAUAAGCAAGAAGAAAAUAAAAGACAAGAACACAAAGAAACUUGUUUACCCGAUUUGAUCAAACUGAUUUACUCUGAGGAAGAGAACUAUUCUCUGCUUCACUAUACUUCCAAAAAUCAUUACAAAAAAUCAAAAAGAGUUACAAAAAAUAAUCAACAAAUUCUUAAGAACUUACCAUAUUUUCUAUCAAAGUGUUUAUUAAUCUCUCAAAUUCUUUAUAUAUGAAUCAUGUCCAAUGCCUUUAGAAGUUUUUCUCAAUCCUUUUAAAUAACUAUAAAGAAUUCUUAAAUUUCAAAAACAUAAUCAUAAAAAUUUCUCUAAAUAUCUUAUGCGGCUCUAGCAUCUUCCGCGGACAUGCUUACUAUUUUUUCAAUUUUCUAAUUAACAUUUUUAAAACAUAUUUUAUUUUUCUUCUUCACUUAAAGUUUUAAGUCAUAUGUAUCAUUAUCAGUUUUUUUUACUUCUUCUAAUUUGUUUUUAAUUUCCAUUUUUUAUUAAUUUUCUAAUUUCCUUUUUAUUAACAUAUCUUUUUAUUAACAAUUUUUUUUUUUUACUUUUUUAUUUUACUCUUUGGACAUAACACAACACCGACAUGACAUUAUUACCCAAAAUUUCCUUUAAAGAUUACGUGGCAUAGUGAAGUGUGUCCGGCAGAAGUUGAUGUAACAUGCAAAAGAUGUACCACACACAAAACACAAAUAUGACCAUACAUGUCAUAUGUACCCUCUUCACAACUGAUCAACACGUGGAACUUUUCAUAUGCUUUUUUGUCAUCAUAAUAAUUCACACAAACAACAACAUUGAAUUUCAACACAUGAUAUGAUACAUUCAAACAUCACUCUUUCUUUCUUCUUUCUUCUUUCUUCUUUCUUCUAACUUCUAAACACCUUCUCAAUUUUUCUUUCUUUUUCUUCUCCAUAAUAACAUUGUGAGCCACUUUUAAUGGACCUUACUCUUAAGCUUUCUCCUUGCGGUGAAAAUGUGGAAGAAAGGAAGUUGAUAAGGUCUUCUUCAUUGGUGGGUGGAGAGAUAAGAAGUGUUAGUGUUUCGAAUUGGUGUCCAUUUGGGUCAUCUAUAGAGAGAUCUUCAUCUCUUCCAAUUGAUGGUGGGGAGAGAAUGGUUCUAGAGAGGCAGAGAAAGGUGGCAGCUUCAGAGCUUCAUGGUAAGUUUUCAAUGUUUGAUAUGAUUUUCAAAAUGCCAAUUUCUAAAAUUGUUUUUAAUCUUAAGAUUUGUAUUUUGACAAUUACUUGUGUUUUACUUAGCUAUUCUCGUAUGCAACACUGACACCUAGACUGACACAUACAUGUGAUUAGGAUAACUUAUGUUCAAUGUUUACUGUCGUGUCUGGUAUGUGCGCGCCGGUGUCGUGUCUGGUAUCUGUGUUAGUGCUUCAUUGUUCAUAUGUCAUAUAAUCCUUUGAUUUGUGACACUUUGGGUCAUGAUUUUAAAUUGUGGUCGGAGUGAGAUUGUGAUCAUUGCGGUUAGGUGCAUUGUGGUCAUUGUGGCUGUUGCAAUAUGAAUUUUGACCGUGACCGGAAGGUGUUUGAAAUACAUAGAUGAGAACUUAAAGUUAAAAAAAUUUGUUAUAUUAAAAGAAAAUUGAAUUUGAUGUUCUAAAAUUUUGAUUUUUUGAUGGAAAACUUAACAAACAUGGGUAAAAUUGUAUUGUUUGAUGUGGUUCAUAAUGUGGUCGCACUCAGGAUUUAAAAUCACUGCAAUUGUAGUCUGAUGCGGUUGCGGAGACUACCACAUCAUCAAUAUUACGGCCGCAAUUGCUGAAGUUAGGGUUGCAAACUCCAAUGCAUUAGGUGAUUACAUAGUUUUUGGGACUACCUAACUGAAUUACAACUGCAAUUGUGACCGCAUUGGCCGCAUUUGUCUGUAUUUUUCUGCAAUAUCAAUGUUUGCGUCAUAACCACUCUACUACCGCAAUUUAAAACCAUUCUAAUAUGACACUCUACAACCGCAAUUUAAAACAUUUCUAAUCUUUCUUUGUUAUGUAAAUUCAUUUUUGUUUCCUCGACAUGUUUGGUACCAUGUUGAAAAACCGACGAAAGUGCUUCAAAUAUGCACUUUAUAAGCUCAAAUAAGUGCUCAUACAACAUUUCAUAUGUAGGUCCAAGAAAUUCAUCUGAAGGAGUAGUUGCUUCCAGUUUCCAGAUAUCAACCAAACACGAAAACAAAUCAACGAUUUUCCCGAAAGCGACAAUCAAGGAAAUUCCAGUUCCGCCUAAGUCUACCGAUACUAAGAUUAAGAAUCAAACAAAAAAGCUUAAUCUCCCUAACUACUGCAGUCUUAAGGGUGAUGUGAUGGAGAAACUGAGACAAAUGCCGACCGUAACAACGACCGGAGACGGACCAAACGGUAAGAGAAUAGAAGGCUUUCUUUACAAGUAUAGAUCCGGUGAAGUUUGUAUCGUAUGCGUCUGCCAUGGUAGCUUCCUCACACCAAAAGAGUUUGUGAUUCAUGCUGGUGGAAAAGAAGUGGCUAAUCCAAUGAAGCAUAUCACUGUUUAUCCUGUCUCAUUUUAGAGAUCAAUGGUAACAAUGUCGAUUAUUUCGGCUUUCUUAGAAUGUAGAGGUACGUGAAAACGAUGAAAUUAUCUUUGAUUAGUUUAGCUUUAAUGAUGAUCAUAUUCAUUGUUCAAGUGGUUUGUGUAGAAGAAAAUCUUCAUCAGAAAAAUCUGUUUGUUAAAAGCUUUUCCUUAUUAGUAUUUCUUUGCAAUAUCAUUGACCCAUAAAAUACUAAACUACGAGACUCAAAUCACCUAAACUUUUAAUCAACAAAAAAAAACUAUGUUAUACUAUCGUCAAAGCGACGUAGGAACAGAGCCGUCUUAAGAUUUUGGAGGUCCUGUGUAGGUUAACUACGGUUCAACCAUGAUUUAACCGUGACAAAUCUAUCAUAAGGUUCUAUUUAGCCUCAAUUUAACUGUGGAAAAUUUGAGGUCUUGUGCUGUAAGCCUGUAACACUUUGCACACCCUCGAAGACGGUGCUGUAUAGGAAGAUUAUUUUCAUCGAAGCCAAGAGACUCUAAUGUGAUCUAGUGACAACAUGUGAAGCAAGAUAGCCAUCUGUUCUGGCAAGCAUUUGAUGCUGGUUUGGUGUUUUGAGCUGCUGGUUUGGUGUUUUGAGCUGCAGAUGGUGGUGCUGUUGCUUUCACAUUCUGUAGUUGCCCUGACUGCUUCAGCUGCUUUUUCGUGUCUUCGCCGUGUUUUGACGAAAGACGUUUUUCUCCAUCUGCAAAUCUUCACAUUACCAAAAAACAGUUAAACCUUUUUUCUCAAGAAAAUUAAGUCAAAUAAAGGCUUAAACCUCAUCAUCCCAGUGUUUUUGGUAUAUGUAGUACCAACUCCUCUGGAAAAAGGUGUGUCUGUGUUAGUAUCAGUGUCUGAAACCAAUACCGACACUUGUAAUUACGUUCGAUUUAUUCCGUUUUUCAAACUAUUACUGGUGUUAACGUGUUAGUGUAUGUGUCGUGUUUCUGGUAUCACUACUUCAUAGCAUAAAAGUAGUUAGUAACUUGAACUUACGAUUUAAAUGCGAAAGAUUGGGUGCUUCCAUUUGAAUGCCGAGAACGGUUAUUAUUAGAACAAGAAACUGUAUCCGAAUGCAUAGCCGCAUUAGAAAAUGUCGUAGAACCUUUACUUUUACUAUGUUCCGGUGUUUUACUAGUUUCCAUUAUAACCUCCAGCAUUGUCUCAGCCGCUUUUGCCUCGGUUACUUUCAAACUAUUUUCAUGUUGUUCGGCGAAAUUCGGGCUAAUAUCACUGAAUUUAGUGGCUUGUGUUUGAGGUGAAAGCGGAGGAUGAUUACUUUGAACACCACCAGACAUGUUCAUGUGAUCGACCUGUUUAUCCAAUUCAUCGGAUUUACUCAACCAAGCCAUGUCGUUCGAGAAACUCUUUCCCAUUUGAAUGCUAAACAAUGAUUCAUUAGAGGCACUGCUCCAUUGAGCAUUUAGUUUGUCUUUACCGAAAGCAUGUAAUGGAAUUCUCGGUGUUGAAGAUGGAGUUGCAGAACCAUUCUCUUGUCUUUCCAUUAUCUGCAUCGGAGGGUUUUGUAUCGUCUCGGGAACAAAAGAAACCGGUGAAGAAUUAUUUUGUUCAUGCUUUGGCAUUGAUCUUACUGAGAAUUCAUCAUCACUAGAUUCUGAAGCUAACAUGUUUUCCUUUCGCGAUUUUGGAUGUACAUGAGUAUCAUUCUCGGUGUUACUCGAAGCACUGGGAGAAUCGUGUUUGUGUUGCUGAGUUGAAGAUUCAAAACCUGUAGAAUGAAAAUCAUGUUUGUGUUGCUGAGUUGAUGAUUCGAAACCUGUAGAAUGCGAAUCAUGCAUGUUUUGCGGAGUUGAAGAUUCAUAACCUGUGGAAAAUGAUGAUACUGAUGAGUCUAACUUAUUAGCAACAUUUAGUGGUGGAAAACAGGCAUGUCCUUCCUGCAAAAAUCUAAAAAAAAACAGACGUGACAGGUAUAAUUGAGAGCACGAGUCUAAAAUAUUUUCCUAUCCCACGGAAAAUGAGUGCGGGACGGAUAUAUUAGAGUCUACGGGAUAAACCUUAGUUUGGUUCGUGAAAAAAAACGGGUUACGCCCGUUUUGCCACCUCUAGCAACAUUAUUUGUUGCAAAAUGAAAAAUUGCUUUUUGAGUUUCGACGACCAAUUUUAAAAAACUUUUCAAAUAUGUGGUUAAUGAAUAUAACAUGUGUUAAAAUUCGUUAACCGUGAAUUUUGACUUGAUUAACGACAACUUUUCAGAUAUUCAAUUUUACGCAUAGUUGAACACCUGAAAAUUAAGAUUGGAAGCACAUAUUUAUAGUUAAUAAAGUUACUUCAAUGGUUAAUGAGUUUCGAUAUCCGAAUCUACUAAUCGUAACUAACGACAUAUUUAUACCGCGUAAUCUGAUUGAAAAUGUAUUUGUGGAGAUAUUAUUACCUUUAUGGUUCUUGUGAGAUGCAUUUUCUAGUUGUUGAUUUUGUGUUGAUUCAAGUGGGAACAAAGGGUCAAAUGGUUGACUUGAGGAAGAAGCAUGUGUUGUUACUUCAUGAUUAGGAAACUUCCAAUGAUCUUGAUGAUGCCAAUCAUUACCAUGAUCAUGAUGUUCAACAAUCUUGUGAGAGUCAUGGAAGGGAUUUCCUAGUGAUGAUUCAUAUGUAGGUAGUUGAGGAAAAUUGGCCUCAAAAGGUGCAUGAUCAUGCAACUUUUGAGAUUCAUUUGUACCAUGAUCACUAAGUAGUAAAAAAGGGUUUUGUGGUGAUGAAAAUGAAGGGUCAGAGCUAUUUGGAUAAGGAGAAUGAAAUUCACCAAAAGGGUUAGCAAGAUUUGUUUGGUCAUUGGUGUGAAGAAAAGAUGCAUUUUCAUUAUGAGGUGUUGUAGUGGUUGAAUUUGGCAUAAAGUGAAUGUGAUCAUCAUGUGAAAGUUGUGGUUUCUUUUGUGAGUUAAGUGCUUCACUUGAACUUGAACUUGAAGGAAAUGUUCUAGGAUGAAUAUCAGAUCCACUUCCACUUUUAGAUUCCAUCAGCCAAUAAUGUCAAGUGAUUUUUAGGGUCUUGAUGUUCUGUAAAAACAAGAAUCUCAAUCAAAUACUAAGCCAUAUAUUUAAGAAAAAACAAGGAUUUGUUUCAACUUACAUGAACUUUUUGAACAAGUACACAACUACUUAGUUAAGAUAACUUAAAUAUAAAGUAACAUAAACAACAACAACUAUAUACAAUUUGUCUACAGUCGUCUCUAUCACGCUCAAGAUUAUUAAGUUUGGUGUAUAAAUAUGAAUGGUGGAAGAUCUAAUAGUAAAAACUUAAUAGAAAUUUCUAUCAUGCUUGAUACUAUUCGAAUUCGAUUUGGUGCAUAAAUAUAAAUGUUUGAAAAUCUUAUAGCGAAAAGCUAAUAGCAGAUUCUCUCACGUUGGUGCAUCAAUAUAAAUGGUAAGAGAUUUGAUAACGAAAAUCUAAUAGCAAUCUAUCACAUUCAACACUAUUAAGCUUGUGCAUCAAUAUAAUUAUGAAGCAUAGACAUCUUUAAGAGUAGGCAUAACACAGUGUUUGACACGUGUCGAUGUUCGACACUUGUAUGACACUCGUACAACACGUGUUGAAAAAGUCAGACAAAUAUCAGAAAAAAGUUGGACAAACAUUCUCAAAUAAAUGAUUUAUUUUCUUUUUUUGACAUUUUUUAAAUCAAUGUCUGACGUUCGUAUAACAUUCAUACAAUUAAACAUAUGUAUUAAAACAAUGUUAUCAAUAAAAAUUAAAGAGAAUAAUUUUGGUUAAGAUAUUUUUAAGUCGUUAUCUACAAGUUCAUAGAUUGAGUCAAUUAGGUCUAAAUUUUGAGUAAAAAACAAUUGAUUCAUACCAUCUAAAUUUUUCAUUUUGUUUGCAAUGUGCAUAAUUUUGUUUCCAACAACAUGAGAUACUAUCAUCAUUAAAGGAUUUGGUCUCUAUCUUAACAAAACGUUACUCAUACAACAAUGCAGUAUGGUUAUUUCUAGCAAUUUCAACAAAUGAUUUGGUCUAUAAAAAAACUAUAAUAACAAACUAAUUCCCUUAUCCCCUUCAUUAAAUAACUAAUUACAUUAUCAUGAUGUACAUAAAUAAAUAAAAGUUGGAAAAUAUCUACAAAACAUAAACAUGUAAUAUGUAACAUGAAGGAUUGUAGAAAUUAUGGAAAAAGAAAUAACACAAGAAUGCAUUGAUGCAAAGUUACCUUAAUCUCAGUUCCAUUACCUCAAUCUCAUGUAGUGGGAAAAAAAACAGGAAUCAGAAAAAUUGAACAAAAGUAAGAUUUGAGAGGAAAAGAGGUUGCAACAGAAAAAGGUUAAAUAAAGGAGAGGGCUUUCCACAAGUUUAGGUGUUUUCCUUUACUAACAUAAUUCCAUAGCCUCAAUUUAAUCUUUCAUUUUUUCCCUCAUUUUUAAUAUUUCAUAAAGAAAAAAUCUUAUUUUUUUAUAACUAUAAAAAAUUAUUUAUGUAAUUUAUUUAUGAAUUUAAAUGAUUUUUUACACUAUGGUUAAUCACAAUUAUUAGAUCAUUUGAUUUUUUACCAUAACUAUCAAUAAAAUCAUAUUCAUGGUUAUUGUUCUGGGUCGGCCAUAUCCUCGUCAAUCCAACCAUAUUUUCAGAUAUCCGACCCUUAUAAGGAAAGAACUUUCUAGAUUAAUCUAAUUCAGACAUGUUUCUUUUCUAGUCCGGCCACCUCCAGGCGUAACAUCCCGGAUCCAAUUCAAGUACAUACUAAAGCUUCUAGAACAUUCUCCUCACCACUAGACCUUUAGUGAUCUGGAAGCAGUGGAUUCCUCCCUCCAAUGCAUCCAACAGUCUUUCACAUUCUCGUUUGAAAGUUAGCAAGUUAGUUAUCUCUUCCCCUAUAUGUGGAUGACGUCAUUUCAGGUAAAAAGUUUCAAACACAAUUUGAAUAAUCUUUCAUCAUACACAUAUUGACUUGAGCGUCGGAUUGUUAACCUUGCAGGUACACCCCCCGCUUCGUCGCAACGGAAACUCUCUUAUACCAUAGCUUUUGUGACUACACAUAUUUCUGGUUCUAAUACGGAACAAUGGCGUCAUCUAUAGGAAUCGACUUCUGAUUUCCUCGUUUUCAUAAAAAACGAGUGAGCAUAAAUGACAACCUUAUGAAAACACUCAAGAAGACAGAUUCAGAUCCAGUUCCUCAUGUCUCACAUGUCGAUUGAUUUGCGCUGAGUACCGGUUCAGAGUUUCAACGAAAUAAUCGAUCAGAGUUAGGGUUCUUGCGCUGAGUACCGGUUCAGAGUGUCACCCUGGUGACGGGCUACCCGUCGUGCUGUCAAAAUGACGUUUUUGUCCCUAUUGCUUAGUUCGAGUUGUCAGUUCGGAAUUUCGAUGUCAUUUUAUACUUUAGUGGGUAAUUAUAUAUUAUUUGGUUGUAUUUGUGUUGAUUAAUUAAUUAUUAUGAAUUUAAUUAAUUAUGGUAGAAUUUCGUUGUUGAAUGAUAAUUGUUUUACUUACAUGUUGAUGUUUCUAUGGUGUUGGAGUUGUAUGGAAUACAUAUGAUGAUGUUUUAUAUUAUUGUGAAAUGGGUUAAAUACACUUUUCCCCCCUGUAAUGUUAGCGAGUUUAGGAUUACCCCCUGUAAAAAUAUUUUUUGUAAACCCCCCCUUAUGUUAUGUAGAUUCCUUCAUAGAACCCCCUAAUAUCCAGGUGGCAUGGAUCUAAUAAGAGGUCCUACACCUGGCAUAUUUUUAAUUUGUUAAAGUGAUUAUGUGUCAUUUUACACUUUUUAAUUUCAAAUACCCCUUAGAAAAUUAGGGUUCUGAACAUAGCAGGGAAGACGAAGACGAAAUUUCCAGGGGAAGACGAAGACGAAGAAGAAGAAUGCAGGGAACGAAGCAAACGAGAAAGACGAGAAGAUUUGAUGGUAAUUUGUGGGGUUAGGAUGCUGCGAUGGGGCUGGUGUUGAGUGCUGCAACUGGUAGAGGAUGGACAACGGGUUCGGGGAUGGAAGGGGCCUGUUCCUGCUGUUGGAAGGAUGAUCAAUUUGGACGGGGAAUAUUUCAACUUUUCCGUGGUCGCUCUUUACAAAAUUCCCGAGGGGAGGAUGCUUAUCGCUUUUACUUGUACCAUCUGUGGCCAGCGAACUACGCGGGCUAUUAAUCCUCAUGCGUAUAAUGAUGGAACUGUUUUUGUUCAGGUAACACUUUGUUUUUGUUCAACUAAGGUUUUUUCUGAAAUAGCUUAUUUUAAUAAGCUUUUUCUCAGAAUGGCCUAUUGAAAUAGCUUUUGCGAAGCUUACCAUCCAUCUGUUGUUCAAUUUAUUUUACCUCAAAUUCCAUUUUAAAAUGAAAACAAAUAUCUGCAAUGCAAUAGCUUGUCAAUGUCAACGCAUAUAUCAAAUUGGAAUAGAUCGCUGAGUUUAAGCAUUUAUGUCAUAAGCUCUCUGGUUUUUAUUUUGAUUUGUCUACAAACAUGCCAAAAUGUUAUUCUGUCAUGUGUGGUUCUGGAAGAUGCAACUGUUUUUGGGAUGUAGGAUAUUAUACACCAAAUCUUUUAGUUAUGCUGUAUCAUAUAUGACCAUAGUUUUCAGAUGGUAUAAUUUGCAUAUUGAUUGUGUAGCUGAACUGCUCAUAGUUUGGUUAAAUUACUUAUGCGAACUGCCAUGGAUUGCACGAGAAGGCAUUCAUCUGUAAACUGAAUCUUUAGGGGAAAUCCUGAAAGGUUAUUAAUGAUUUGAAGAUUAUAUUGGAAUAACAAGCUAACCAUUGGAGUCUGAAACUUAACCUCUGAAAGAUGACAAUCGUAAACUGUCAUGAAGUUGCAAGACUUCGGUUGGCCUUGUUAAUAUAGUACUUAUAAAUUUGAUAGUAUUAUGAUUUUAAUACUUUGAUGAUUUAUUUUUAUAAUUAAAACAUGUAUAUCAUAUUGUUUUCAACAUAUUGUUACAUAUUUGCACUCUAUGUAUGAAUGGCAAAGUCUACUUCAACCCUGCCGGUUGGUUUUAUAAUCUCAAAAUCAGCCCUAGAAAAAUGGAUGUGGAUAUUCUGGAGGGCCAAAUUUUAAUGCAGAAAGGAUGUAAAAUUGUAGUUGUUGAAAAAAAGAGUUAGAAUGUCAUGUUAAAUUUCAAAUGGGAACUGAAAGAAAAAAGCUAACAUACAUUGUUUUUCCAUUGUUGGCAGUGUUUGGAUGCAAUGCGUACCAUAAGCUCGUGGAUCACUUGAACUUGUUUCAGGAGACAAAUUGCUAUCUGAAUUCAAGUUUUAAUUAUAAAGGUCCUGGAUGGAUGAUCUUAAGUUCAGGUUCAUGGACGUUGAUAGCGACAGCGAUGAUGAUAUAUUCCCAGUUACAUGAGUGAAUUACCAGCUUAUGGAGUAUAUAUUUUCUCUGCACUCUGACUUAAGAAAUUUAGAUCAGUUGUAAUGUAUAUUGUUUAUGUUUUCAUGCUUAAUAGUAACAUUUGUUAGAGGAUGCUUUGUAUAGUAUAUGUGUAUGUAUAGCUUCGCAACCGAAUUGUACGAUCAUGAAUUUAAUCAUGUACAUACUUUGCAUAACUACUUCUUUUGUUGUAUGUAUAGCUCACACACUUAACACAAUCAUCCAUACAUAUAACAUACUAAAUAUUACAGUUCUUCACAGAAAGGAUGAUUAAACAACAUAAGUCUAAGGCUGUAAGAUAAUGUGGUUCAUAAAUACAUUACCACAUUCCCUCUUCAUAAUUGCAGAAAAUUCUGUGACUUAGCAGUGGUUCACCUGAUUACUAUUUUCAAAACCACUUCACUGAGUCAUGAGUCAUGUUUCUUUUUCUGUAAUUCACCUUUGUGUGUUCUUGGUGUCUCCGUGUGUCAAAGCAUAUAGAUGUCUUGAGUAGAAGUAGAACCUACACCUAAAGUAUGUUCAUUCUAUUAUUUUGCAACUUAUCUCUCACAGGUUAUGUACAACACUUUUUGGAGAGGCAAAAUGAUGAAUGAAAUAUAAUGUUUGUUGCUUCUGCGCAUAAAUAAUAGGCUGAUUUAUCUCCCCCCUCAGACCAAGGUGUCUGUGCAACGGUUACUACUAACUUUGUCGCCAACAAUAGGAGGCGCAGCACGAAUCAUAAGACUAUAGGAAAAUGCUGUCAU
RNAcentral lists this long non-coding RNA (20157 nucleotides) under Lathyrus oleraceus (garden pea). Its description in RNAcentral is "Pisum sativum (pea) long non-coding RNA (PSAT_LNC021402)". The record is from RNAcentral. Lineage: Eukaryota; Viridiplantae; Streptophyta; Magnoliopsida; Fabales; Fabaceae.